UUGAGCACCGCGGUGCGGACCUAGCAAGCUUUCCAUUCAGCUGACAGACACCAUUCCUGAAUCAGCUGCGGAUGACCGAAGGCUGCACGUCCUGGAUUUGCUGAAAGCUGAGGAGAGCCAGUUCAGCCAAUGAGAUUGGUCGCUGCUUCUUGAAGAGAAAAAGUAAACUCUCCAUGAGUGUCUCACAGUUCCUGGCCACCACGUCAGGAGAACUUGACUCAAGGAACCGCCAGUCUCUUCAGGGAUCUUCUCUCCGGUGGCACCCUUCCGCCCGCCCCAUCUAUUGGAACAGAGGACGGCCUGAAUUUCCUCCAACCUGCAGAGUGGACUUGGAAUGAGAUGCUGUCCUAAAUUUAACAUCAAAAAAACAAGGCUCGGGGCCUUUGUACUAGGGUGUCGUGACACUGUUCUAGGACACCACGGUUGGAUAGAGCACAGGAAUGCCAUGGUCUUCGUGACCCAGUUUCCUCUGUGUGGUGAUUAGCUUUCACUGCCAACCUGAAGCCACCCAAACUCAUCUGGGAAGAGAGUCUUAAUGAGGCAUUAUUUAGAUCAGCCCCGCCUGGACUGUGUGCACUUCCCUGUGGGGACUGUCUUGAUCACUGUAAUUGAUGUGGGUGGGAUCAUUCUCAGGCCUUGGGCUCUAGGUUGUAUGAGAGUAGAGAAGGCAAAGAAAAUGAGCUGAAGUCAUCAGGUAGGCUGGCAGUGAGGCCCCAGACAGGCUCCUGUAGCUAUGGAGCCAG
RNAcentral lists this long non-coding RNA (743 nucleotides) under Rattus norvegicus (Norway rat). RNAcentral describes it as "long non-coding RNA NONRATT012514". The record is from RNAcentral. Lineage: Eukaryota; Metazoa; Chordata; Mammalia; Rodentia; Muridae.